AAAUUAAAAGAAGGUCGCGGUUCAAUGGGCGGAGGUAACUUAUGACUUUUUUAAAGUAGUCCAAUUGCCUUGUCAUUUUAUUAGUGACGCGUUUGAAUGGAUUAACGAGAUGCGUACUGUCCAUAUCUACUU
Molecule: non-coding RNA, 132 nt
Filed under: Drosophila virilis
Lineage: Eukaryota; Metazoa; Arthropoda; Insecta; Diptera; Drosophilidae
Description: Eukaryotic large subunit ribosomal RNA
Rfam family: Eukaryotic large subunit ribosomal RNA
Source: Rfam by way of RNAcentral